AAUGAACGCUGGCGGCAGGCCUAACACAUGCAAGUCGAACGAGUGUCGGACGGGAAAGUAAUGUCUGGGAAACUGUACGCUGGAGGGGGAUAACUAAUGAAAACGGUAGCUAAUACCUAAUACUAUCAGUGGAUCCCAUAUGGGAGUAGCUAGUUGGUGGGGUAACGGCUCACCGAGGCGACGAUCCCUAGCUGGUCUGAGAGGAUUACCACCAACCCUGGACUGGAGACACGGGCCAGACUCCUACGGGAGGCAGCAGUGGGGAACAUUGCAAAAUGGGGGAAAGCCUGAUGCAUCCAUGCGGCGGGUAUGAAGAAGGCCUUCGGGUUUUAAAGUAUUUUGGGCAGGGAGGCGUUAUGUAUAAAAGAAGGACCGGCUAACUACGUGCCAGCAGCCGCGGUAAUAC
RNAcentral lists this ribosomal RNA (406 nucleotides) under uncultured bacterium. RNAcentral describes it as "partial 16S ribosomal RNA". It matches the Rfam family "Bacterial small subunit ribosomal RNA", at positions 29 to 526 of the family's 1533-position model. The record is from RNAcentral.